RNAcentral lists this non-coding RNA (157 nucleotides) under Brucella sp. 191011898. Lineage: Bacteria; Pseudomonadati; Pseudomonadota; Alphaproteobacteria; Hyphomicrobiales; Brucellaceae. The record is from RNAcentral.
GCUGGGGGUAGAGCAUGUUUCCGAAAAGUGGAAACCGGUUUUUGGAUAAAAACACGCGCCAGCAAACACUUAGAGCGGUUCCAACGAUUCCGCUUUAACCGGAACCGCUCUAGGAUUUUUGCUGUUCCUGUGAUACGGGCAAGUCACGCUGCCAAGG